UAAGGAAUAUUGGACAAUGGAGGCAACUCUGAUCCAGCCAUGCCGCGUGAAGGAUGAAGGCGCUCAGCGUUGUAAACUUCUUUUGGAUAGGAACAAAACACCCGAUGCGUCGGGUACUGAGGGUACUAUCAGAAUAAGCACCGGCUAACUCCGUGCCAGCAGCCGCGGUAAUACGGAGGGUGCAAGCGUUAUCCGGAAUCACUGGGUUUAAAGGGUGCGUAGGCGGCUCGAUAAGUCAGUCGUGAAAUUCCCCGGCUUAACCGGAGGGACUGCGAUUGAUACUGUUGAACUUGAAUCAGAUUGAGGUAGGCGGAAUGUGGCAUGUAGCGGUGAAAUGCUUAGAUAUGCCAUAGAACACCGAUUGCGAAGGCAGCUUGCUGGAUCUGUAUUGACGCUGAGG
Molecule: ribosomal RNA, 400 nt
Filed under: uncultured bacterium
Lineage: Bacteria
Description: bacterial SSU rRNA
Rfam family: Bacterial small subunit ribosomal RNA
Source: RNAcentral